CAGUAGCCACGGUAAUACGUAGGUCCCGAGCGUUGUCCGGAUUUAUUGGGCGUAAAGCGAGCGCAGGCGGUUAGAUAAGUCUGAAGUUAAAGGCUGUGGCUUAACCAUAGUACGCUUUGGAAACUGUUUAACUUGAGUGCAAGAGGGGAGAGUGGAAUUCCAUGUGUAGCGGUGAAAUGCGUAGAUAUAUGGAGGAACACCGGUGGCGAAAGCGGCUCUCUGGCUUGUAACUGACGCUGAGGCUCGAAAGCGUGGGGAGCAAACAGGAUUAGAUACCCGAGUAGUCCCUGUCUCUUAUACC
RNAcentral lists this ribosomal RNA (301 nucleotides) under uncultured bacterium. Its description in RNAcentral is "partial 16S ribosomal RNA". It matches the Rfam family "Bacterial small subunit ribosomal RNA", at positions 509 to 808 of the family's 1533-position model. The record is from RNAcentral.